GACGAACGCUGGCGGCGUGCUUAACACAUGCAAGUCGAGCGGUAAGGCCCUUUCGGGGGUACGACGAGCGGCGAACGGGUGAGUAACACGUGGGUGACCUGCCCUCAGCUCUGGGAUAAGCCUGGGAAACCGGGUCUAAUACUGGAUAUGACUCCAUGACGCAUGUUGUGGGGUGGAAAGCCUUGUGCGGCUGAGGAUGGGCCCGCGGCCUAUCAGCUUGUUGGUGGGGUGAGGCCUACCAAGGCGACGACGGGUAGCCGGCCUGAGAGGGCGACCGGCCGCACUGGGACUGAGACACGGCCCAGACUCCUACGGGAGGCAGCAGUGGGGAAUCUUGCGCAAUGGGCGAAAGCCUGACGCAGCGACGCCGCGUGAGGGAUGACGGCCUGG
Molecule: ribosomal RNA, 390 nt
Filed under: uncultured bacterium
Lineage: Bacteria
Description: bacterial SSU rRNA
Rfam family: Bacterial small subunit ribosomal RNA
Source: RNAcentral